AUCCAGCUGACGAGUCUCACAUAGGACGAAACGUAAGUCCUUGAU
Non-coding RNA from Schistosoma mansoni, 45 nucleotides. NCBI's taxonomy places the organism in Eukaryota, Metazoa, Platyhelminthes, Trematoda, Strigeidida, Schistosomatidae. The record is from Rfam.